RNAcentral lists this long non-coding RNA (1384 nucleotides) under Homo sapiens (human). RNAcentral describes it as "HSALNT0394244". Lineage: Eukaryota; Metazoa; Chordata; Mammalia; Primates; Hominidae. The record is from RNAcentral.
AAAAUGACUUAGUGACCCAAGCCUUCAAUUCAAGCUGCAGCAUGUGAAAUCCACUUAAAAUGAGAGCGGGCUGCUGCUUCUGCAUGCUUUGAACAACCCCAGGAGGUGACUCGGCCACUCUGUCCUCAUAGAUUUGAGUUAUUUUUAUGACAAUAUCAGACAGAGGCUGUGCUGAGGAAGGGGCACCUCUUUCUAAUUUGCAAAAAGUCGCCAUGUGGCUAGUGGCCUCCUUCAGGGAUGAAAAAGGAAGCCACAGGCCUGACACACAGCCCAGUAUGCAGAACAGAGAACAAUGAGGACAGGGUACAACUGCCAGUGCGGGAUGCCCAGAUGCUGUGGCAGUCCUCCUCCUCCAGGGUGUGUCUGAAGGCCCCCAAACACCACCGCAUCUUUCGGAAGAGCCCUCACCUCUCUGUGCCCCCACCUCUCUGUGCCCCGGCAUGGCGGGGCUGAGGAGUGGGGCCCCGGGAACCUCGGCCAUUAGCAGCUUAUGUGGUCUUGCAGUUCUCACUUGGAUGAGAGAGGGGAGUGUGUGCAGAGACAGAGAGGCAGCUCUGAUUGUCAUUCCUUUCUUUUUCUCCCCCUCUUUCCUCUCUACAGAACAUUUUCUGUGCAGAUGCUUUAGUGAUGAAGCCUUUUCAAAGACACCUACUUGAUGCUGAUCUCUAGGAAAUUCUAGAAUACAUUAUUAAACAGAUGUCCUGUGAGCCUUGUACAAGGACCAAUCAUUCGGAUUCAUUAUAAAAGAAACUACAGGAUGUGUGGGAAGACCAGCGACCAAGGGACCCUGGGCCCCAAGUCAGUGGCUGAGUGAGCUGUGUGGCCUCUGGCCCAGCACUUCCCCACUGGGAGCCUUGCCUUCCUUGUUUAGAAGGACGUGUUUAGGAUGGUUUAGAAUGGUGACUAGGUGCUUUUCAAGAUACAUGCACAGAGGACAUUUCAUCUCUUUGUUCCUCCAUCCAAUGCUGGCUGUUCCUUACUCUGGGCACCAUGCCCCAUCGCAAGUAUACCCAGCUUUAUCCUCCACAUCAGGGGCUGAGGUGACAACAUGUCGGUAGGAGGAAUCCUUGCAGGUGAUCUGCUGGAAAAGGAGCACUUCCAGGGAGGCUUCCCCCUGCCACCCAGUGUGCUUCGGUGUCAGCGCCCGCCGCUGCAGAGGUUCUGCACGCAGGGAACAAACUCCUCUCCCUGUCGGCCUCUGCCCAGCACGCUGUGGAUGGUUCAUCUGCCACACACACAAAGCAGUGCGCUGGAAGGAAAGAUCUGGAACACUGAGCCCAGGGCUUCGCCCCAUCCAGGGCCACUUGGAUACCAUGGAUUGAGAUGGCAGGGCCACAGAACGCAAUCCACCUGGACCCUGGAGUCCCCAAGGAGCUACCCUGGA